This 463-nucleotide ribosomal RNA is filed under the name uncultured bacterium. Its description in RNAcentral is "partial 16S ribosomal RNA". It matches the Rfam family "Bacterial small subunit ribosomal RNA", at positions 28 to 507 of the family's 1533-position model. The record is from RNAcentral.
GAUGAACGCUGACAGAAUGCUUAACACAUGCAAGUCUUUGGCGAAGCUGUGCUUGCACAGCCUAGCCAAGGCGGACGGGUGAGUAACGCGUAAGGAACUUGCCCUGCAGUCAGGGAUAACAGACGGAAACGACUGAUAAGACCUGGUAAAGUCAGGCGGACUCAUGUCCAGCCUGAUGAAAAGGGAUGCUGCAGGAGAGCCUUGCGUCCUAUUAGCUUGUUGGUGGGGUAACGGCCCACCAAGGCGAUGAUAGGUAGCCGGCCUGAGAGGGUGGACGGCCAGAAGGGGACUGAGAGACGGGCCUGACUCCCACGGUAGGCAGCAGUGGGGAAGAGUGGACAAUGGGGGGAACGCUGAUACAGAAAUAGUAGGUGCAAGAUGAAGGUUGUCGGAUGGUAAAGGGCUUUCAGCAGGGAAGAAAAAAACGACGGUACCUGCAGAAGAAGCGACGGCUAAAUACGUG